This 493-nucleotide ribosomal RNA is filed under the name Burkholderia gladioli. Its description in RNAcentral is "bacterial SSU rRNA". It matches the Rfam family "Bacterial small subunit ribosomal RNA", at positions 847 to 1346 of the family's 1533-position model. The record is from RNAcentral. Lineage: Bacteria; Pseudomonadati; Pseudomonadota; Betaproteobacteria; Burkholderiales; Burkholderiaceae.
ACGUGCUACGCGUGAGUUGACCGCCUGGGGAGUACGGUCGCAAGAUUAAAACUCAAAGGAAUUGACGGGGACCCGCACAAGCGGUGGAUGAUGUGGAUUAAUUCGAUGCAACGCGAAAAACCUUACCUACCCUUGACAUGGUCGGAAUCCUNGAGAGAUCUGGGAGUGCUCGAAAGAGAACCGAUACACAGGUGCUGCAUGGCUGUCGUCAGCUCGUGUCGUGAGAUGUUGGGUUAAGUCCCGCAACGAGCGCAACCCUUGUCCUUAGUUGCUACGCAAGAGCACUCUAGGGAGACUGCCGGUGACAAACCGGAGGAAGGUGGGGAUGACGUCAAGUCCUCAUGGCCCUUAUGGGUAGGGCUUCACACGUCAUACAAUGGUCGGAACAGAGGGUCGCCAACCCGCGAGGGGGAGCUAAUCCCAGAAAACCGAUCGUAGUCCGGAUUGCACUCUGCAACUCGAGUGCAUGAAGCUGGAAUCGCUAGUAAUCGCA